Molecule: long non-coding RNA, 338 nt
Organism: Daphnia magna
Lineage: Eukaryota; Metazoa; Arthropoda; Branchiopoda; Diplostraca; Daphniidae
Exons: 2
Source: RefSeq, a predicted model, not a curated record
UUCACGUGUUGCAGCUUGUAGACUUGCAGUAACAUUCAGUUUAUUCUAGAUUCUAGACAUAGCACAUAGUCAAAUCUUUUAAUACUGCAUAAGUAACGAAUUUAACGAUUGUGAGAUGAGUGUGGACGUGGAGCCUUCAAAGUCAAAAGAUGAUAGACGUAGGCCUACGCCUACCAUUGAUUUAACUGAGAGUCAACCUGCACUGGCAGAAAAGAAGAAAUAUGUAGUAUUUGUCCCACCACUAACAAUGUUUCACUUUGUGUAUUUGGUUUACUCUUUCAUACCAAAAUACAAGAGGAAAAAUUCAGACGAUCGAUUUGAUCGACGUCGAUCAUCAA